This is a long non-coding RNA of Hyla sarda, 806 nucleotides long. RefSeq lists it as uncharacterized. The record is from RefSeq and is a predicted model, not a curated record. The transcript is spliced from 5 exons. Lineage: Eukaryota; Metazoa; Chordata; Amphibia; Anura; Hylidae.
AGGCGCCUGACAGGACGGUGAAGAGAAAUGCGCGGGUUCUGCACAGGCUCCGCCCCCUCUGUGAAGGCGGGAAAGUGUCUUCUCUGCAGUCACCACAGGAUUCCUGUCCGCGUUACGUCCUGACUACAGCCGCCCAGAUAUAAGGCAAUAGUGCUGUGACUGCAAACAGGGACUUCUCAAUGUAGAUGAAUGGGAUGGAAGAUGAGGGUUGUUAUCAAACGUCCUUAUAAGUAGAACAGUGUAUUCCUCACAGAUAGAAAACAGUUGCAGGUUUACAAGUCAUGAAUCCACAUGGGAAUUCUGUUGUUUAGGACUCAGCCAAGCAGCUGUCAAUCAUUGUUGGCCUUGAAAAGAUUACUUCUAAACAUAUGGUUACUGGGUCACUAAAGUUUUGUUCUCGACAGAGCCAUGGAAACAUCAGUGUUAUGGAUGCAGUAAAGCUGGAAUAAAAUUAACCUGAUGCUGAAGCUCAAGCAUAAGUAUGAAGGCUGCAGAAUAAGAUUUCUCUAUCCUCAGCCCAAACAUGGAAAAAGGCACAACGCACUGGGUUAAGCAAUGUUCUACAAGGUCCAUCCCUAGAGAUACUAUUCGUUUGUAAAUACAUCUUUCACAAGGAGGUCUUGGAGUCAUUUCAGACGAGCCUUGUACCCAGACGAGAUGAAAGCCAUUCUCUGAUAUAAGACAUGUUAUUUUUAAUAUGUUUUGUCUUCUCUGGUAACUAUUUUCUCUAUUCCUUUUUUUUUUUGUGUGUAGCAGUUUGAUUUUGCAUUGGCGUUGUCUAUCUCUUUGUAAGUGCUAGUGAAUAA